RNAcentral lists this ribosomal RNA (497 nucleotides) under uncultured bacterium. Its description in RNAcentral is "partial 16S ribosomal RNA". It matches the Rfam family "Bacterial small subunit ribosomal RNA", at positions 28 to 507 of the family's 1533-position model. The record is from RNAcentral.
GACGAACGCUGGCGGCGUGCCUAAUACAUGCCAGUUGAGCGAUGAAGCUUGGUGCUUGCACCAAUUUGAAGAGCAGCGAACGGGUGAGUAACGCGUGGGGAAUCUGCCUUUGAGCGGGGGACAACAUUUGGAAACGAAUGCUAAUAUCGCAUAACAACUUUAAACAUAAGUUUUAAGUUUGAAAGAUGCAAUUGCAUCACUCAAAGAUGAUCCCGCGUUGUAUUAGCUAGUUGGUGAGGUAAAGGCUCACCAAGGCGAUGAUACAUAGCCGACCUGAGAGGGUGAUCGGCCACAUUGGGACUGAGACACGGCCCAAACUCCUACGGGAGGCAGCAGUAGGGAAUCUUCGGCAAUGGACGAAAGUCUGACCGAGCAACGCCGCGUGAGUGAAGAAGGGUUUCGGAUCGUAAAACUCUGUUGGUAGAGAAGAACGUUGGUGAGAGUGGAAAGCUCAUCAAGUGACGGUAACUACCCAGAAAGGGACGGCUAACUACGUG